Salvia miltiorrhiza (redroot sage) is the source of this 1410-nucleotide long non-coding RNA. RefSeq lists it as uncharacterized. NCBI's taxonomy places the organism in Eukaryota, Viridiplantae, Streptophyta, Magnoliopsida, Lamiales, Lamiaceae. The record is from RefSeq and is a predicted model, not a curated record. The transcript is spliced from 2 exons.
AUUACAAUGUUGACACAAAUCGAUAGUUGACGCACAUUAAUUUCACUUUCGUCGAAGCAAACCAAGUUGACCCCUAUUGCUGAAAUAGAAAUUUUAUUAAAAAAUGAAAAACAACGUAAAGAAUCUAAACCCUUGAGAGUACAGGUGCAGACUAAGGGCCGAGUAUCAUUAAAACCUCUUUAAGAUCGGUUCGGAUCCUCUGUCCCGCAAAUGGUGUCCCACUCCGUGUCCCACUAUCAAAACUACGUAGUUUUGUAGUAUUCUAACUUAAUACACAAAAUAGAGAACUCACGGCUCAACAAUCUCACGGCUCGGCUUAGACACAAAAAUCAAAUCUUUUCGUUUGAAGAAGAUCUCCAUCCGUUCGGGAAAGAAGGAAACUUUCCGAUGGAUAGGCUUCCUCUAUCCCAUGGACUCAAAUUAUUCGUUCUUCUCCCAGCCAUUAAUCUAUUUUGCAUCAAGUUUAUUGUUCUGUUCUCUGCCGCUUCUAUUGAUGCAAUUCUCCACGCCAACUGCUCGACGAAAGUUCUGUUCCAGAAUUGUGUGUUCUUGAGGCAGCGGCUACGAGUGCUUACGUCCAGGGCAAAGUUCUGUUCCAGAAUUUGUGAAUUAAUUGUGACUUGUAUCCACCAAAUUAAGAGCUCAGGCAUUCCAUGUUCCUUGAUGGCCAUUUACUAGAUCAGCUCUGUGAAGAACUGUGGAGUGCGGCAGAUACUAUUAAAAACUGCUGCAAGAAUACGAUGUUAUCAUAGUUCCUUCUGCUACGUUGGCUGUGAAGUCGUCUAUUCCAAUUUCUAAAGAACGCAGAGCCAAUCAGCCUCUUAAAAUUGUGCUGUCAAAAUGUUUGAAUCCCUGACCAAGAUUGCUGCUGUCGAAGAUGAUGGAGCUUCCAAAUUGUUGAUAGUCAGCGAGAAAGAAACGGGCAACAAGCAACAGACAUGUGCAAGGAGUCCAAACACUAUCUCUGUAAAAGAUAAGUCUACUCAAAUUCUUGAACACUGCAAGAAUGAAGGACUCUGUUGGAUCUGACGGGUACCAUUGUGGAUAUUGAGGAUGUAAACUUAAAGAGGGCUUCAAACAAAACUUGUUCUAGAUAUUGGUGGUCAAGGUGCUGCCAGUUUUUGGAGGUGACGAUGAGAGAUGUCUGAGUAACAUGGAUCUAAAAGGAAGGGUGAAGAAAUUGAUAUCAUUGUCCAUGGUUAAAGUGUUCUACUUGAAGGAUAUUUAUGAUCCAAUUAUUUGCAUAGCUAGACUGCAAAUUCUUCUCCACGCCCUCAAAAUCUUGUUCAAGACGACAUUGUGGUAGAUUUUAUUACGGUGAAACUCAUAGCUCCAAGCUUGUUAAGGAACAUCUUUGUAUUGAAAAAUUUUAGAUGUUACUAUUUCAUAAAUGAAAAUGCUACUUCUAUA